GUCGUAACAAGGUUUCUCCGUAGGUGAACCUGCGGAGGGAUCAUUA
RNAcentral lists this ribosomal RNA (46 nucleotides) under Orbilia foliicola. Its description in RNAcentral is "partial small subunit ribosomal RNA". The record is from RNAcentral. Lineage: Eukaryota; Fungi; Ascomycota; Orbiliomycetes; Orbiliales; Orbiliaceae.